CUCCGCUGUCGCCACUGAGAUUCACCAUCGGUAAGGGUUUUUGAGUUUGGUUUACCUUCGUUUAAGAUUCUGAAAACCUUAUUGUCUCUGCGUGUUGGUUUUAGUCACCGUCGAAGAAGCUUCAGCUGCCGCGGUCGAUUGUCACUAGGGAACAACCGCCGUGCCUCUGGUCGCCGAAAUCACGGACUGGAGAGAAGGGGGCUGCCUCUCCUAUUGCUGCUGUUUCGUUCUUUUAUCGUCCCGUUCUUGCCGGUUUUGGCCAUUGGAUUUGUAACAGCUCCAACUUUUAUUUCCCUCUUGAUUCGAGUAACUAUGGUUGUUGCAAAAGUGGUUUGGAGCCGUGGUUGUGGCUGCCGCUGUGAUGAGCCGGGG
This is a non-coding RNA of Arachis ipaensis, 372 nucleotides long. Lineage: Eukaryota; Viridiplantae; Streptophyta; Magnoliopsida; Fabales; Fabaceae. The record is from RefSeq and is a predicted model, not a curated record.